GACGAACGCUGACGGUGUGCUUUAGACAUGCAAGUCGAACGAGAAAGCCCUUCGGGUUAGUAAAGUGGCGAACGGGUGAGUAACACGUGGGCAAUCUGCCCCUCGCAGGGGGACAACCGGAGGAAACCCCGGCUAAUACCCCGUAAGUUCAAAGGGAGGCAUCUCCCCUUGAAGAAAGGUAGCUUCGGCCAUCCGGCGAGGGAUGAGCCCGCGGUGCAUUAGCUAGUUGGUGGGGUAACGCCCACCAAGGCGACGAUGCAUAGCUGGUCUGAGAGGAUGAUCAGCCACA
RNAcentral lists this ribosomal RNA (289 nucleotides) under uncultured bacterium. RNAcentral's name for it is "partial 16S ribosomal RNA". It matches the Rfam family "Bacterial small subunit ribosomal RNA", at positions 28 to 312 of the family's 1533-position model. The record is from RNAcentral.